UACAGAGGUCCCAAGCGUUAGGCGGAAUCACUGGGCUUAAAGCGCGUGUAGGCGGAUCCGUAAGUGCCUUGUGAAAUCCCACGGCUUAACCGUGGAACGGCUGGGCAUACUGCGGGUCUUGAGCCAUCUAGGGGCCUGCGGAACAAGCGGUGGAGCGGUGAAAUGCGUAGAGAUCGGGAAGAACAUCGGUGGCGAAAGCGCUCUACUGGACCGCAACUGACACUCAGGGACGAAAGCUAGGGGAGCGAACAGG
This 253-nucleotide ribosomal RNA is filed under the name uncultured bacterium. Its description in RNAcentral is "partial 16S ribosomal RNA". It matches the Rfam family "Bacterial small subunit ribosomal RNA", at positions 524 to 776 of the family's 1533-position model. The record is from RNAcentral.